AUUGAACGCUGGCGGCAGGCCUAACACAUGCAAGUCGAGCGGAUGAAGGGAGCUUGCUCCUGGAUUCAGCGGCGGACGGGUGAGUAAUGCCUAGGAAUCUGCCUGGUAGUAGGGGAUAACGUCCGGACACGGGCGCUAAUACCGCAUCCGUCCUGAGGGAGAAAGUGGGGGAUCUUCGGACCUCACGCUAUCAGAUGAGCCUAGGUCGGAUUAGCUAGUUGGCGGGGUAAAGGCCUACCAAGGCGACGAUCCGUAACUGGUCUGAGAGGAUGAUCAGUCACACUGGAACUGAGACACGGUCCAGACUCCUACGGGAGGCAGCAGUGGGGAAUAUUGGACAAUGGGCGAAAGCCUGAUCCAGCCAUGCCGCGUGUGUGAAGAAGGUCUUCGGAUUGUAAAGCACUUUAAGUUUGGAGGAAGGGCAGUAAGUUAAUACCUUGCUGUUUUGACGUUACCAACAGAAUAAGCACCGGCUAACUUCGUG
This 484-nucleotide ribosomal RNA is filed under the name uncultured bacterium. RNAcentral's name for it is "partial 16S ribosomal RNA". It matches the Rfam family "Bacterial small subunit ribosomal RNA", at positions 30 to 507 of the family's 1533-position model. The record is from RNAcentral.